AGUGAACGCUGGCGGUAGGCCUAACACAUGCAAGUCGAACAGCAGCACAGGAGAGCUUGCUCUCUGGGUGGCGAGUGGCGGACGGGUGAGGAAUACAUCGGAAUCUACUCUGUCGUGGGGGAUGACGUAGGGAAACUUACGCUAAUACCGCAUACGACCUACGGGUGAAAGCAGGGGAUCUUCGGACCUUGCGCGAUUGAAUGAGCCGAUGUCGGAUUAGCUAGUUGGCGGGGUAAAGGCCCACCAAGGCGACGAUCCGUAGCUGGUCUGAGAGGAUGAUCAGCCACACUGGAACUGAGACACGGUCCAGACUCCUACGGGAGGCAGCAGUGGGGAAUAUUAGACAAUGGGCGCAAGCCUGAUCCAGCCAUACCGCGUGGGUGAAGAAGGCCUUCGGGUUGUAAAGCCCUUUUGUUGGGAAAGAAAUCCAGCUGGCUAAUACCCGGUUGGGAUGACGGUACCCAAAGAAUAAGCACCGGCUAACUUCGUGCCAGCCGCCGCCGUAA
Molecule: ribosomal RNA, 506 nt
Filed under: uncultured bacterium
Lineage: Bacteria
Description: partial 16S ribosomal RNA
Rfam family: Bacterial small subunit ribosomal RNA
Source: RNAcentral